This is a long non-coding RNA of Etheostoma spectabile (orangethroat darter), 1558 nucleotides long. RefSeq lists it as uncharacterized. The transcript is spliced from 2 exons. The record is from RefSeq and is a predicted model, not a curated record. NCBI's taxonomy places the organism in Eukaryota, Metazoa, Chordata, Actinopteri, Perciformes, Percidae.
CAGCUGAGUUAUGUAAAGUCCACAGCCUGUCUCUCGCUUUCUCCUGCAGCCACUUCAUCCCAGUCCAGGCCCUAACCUCUCGAGGUCUUGUGUUACCUCCACCCUCGUGCACAAUUACCCAACCAAGUGGAAGCUGCUGUCUGGGGUGGGGCAGAGUUUGAGACGGGGUGGGGUGACUGCAGAGCCCUGUGUCCGUGAAGUCCUGAAGAGUGAAAAGAUUGGGGACAUGGGGGUAGGGGGACGCACACACAAUCAUAGGAGUGCCUUCGACUGAUAGCAGAGCGCUCAUUAUACACAUAGCACGAGACUCCUUCAAUCGGCCUUCCACGGUCAGACAUAGUGCUAACCCCCCGUGUGGAUUCAGACACCACACAGACAGAUAAUCCCUCCUAAAGUCUGCCAUUUGAUGUUGCUCCCCCAGAUGCACAUGACACGUUAGCAUGUAUGUGUUAUGCAUACAUACAAGCAUUGACGCACACUCACACACAAAGGGUGGGGAGGAUUUGCCAUCACAGCAUGCAACUACUUUUUUGGGUUUUGGGGAGAGUAAAGGAUUAUUGAUUUAGGACACUGGCCAGAUGUACCCACAUGCCUGACACAGUGGAGUAAAAUUCAACUAUUUUGCAGCAAUCUUGUCCAGCAAUGGCAUCAUUUGAUUUGUGUAGACUGAAAGGUUUUACAAUGAGUGCUUUUACUUCCCACUAUCAGUAAGGGCCUUGAUAAUGUUUCUCUCCAGGGCCUUUUCAUUCAUGUCUAAUAAACUGUAAGUGCAUCAAUGCGUCCACACAAUGACUGACUUCUGUGUCAACAUCAAAAAUCCCAGGUCUCUUGUAUUGCUCUGUCCCUGCUCUUCAUCUACAAGCCAUUUUCCAUCUCUUCAUCUCAUUGCUUUCUCAGCCUGUCAAACACCUCUUACUCUGCCCCCUUUUCCCCUCUCCUGCUAUUUUCUUUCCCCUUUUAGCAUUCACAUCACGUCCUUGUCUCCCCAUUUGGUCAGAUUUUAGGUUGGAUUAAGGGAAUAGAAUCAAACUGAUGCAGUUACUCUUUGAUAUUUAAGUGAUAUUCUGAAUCAGCUGCUCAGAGCACAUGAAGUUGAGCUGCUACCUUGCUCAGUGUGUUUCCUGUCUCUGUGUAUAUUUAAGAUUGAGCAUAUAAAUGGAGCUGGCAGGACCAGAGAGCAGGACCAGACUCAGAAAGGAAGGAGCUCCACUCAAAUUAAUCUCCCCUGGACAGCCCAGUAAAGGAGCAGAGCCAUUUUUGGGAGCAAGGAGCCAUCUCCUAGGAAGGCUGUGAGAAGACUGCAGACAAGUGUCUGUGGGAAAAUGUUGCCAGACAACACAGGGGUAUGUGACAGUGAGUGUAAGAAAAUAAAGGGAAAAAAGGGAAAUUAAGGCUAGAUGAGAUAGAUUAUCAGAGCUACAUUUGAAACUAUGAGAACUGCAAAUUUGAAGCUUUGCUCAUGUUUGAAAAUGUGCAUAUUUUAAGAUGGCAUGCCACAGAAAUUGAAGAGUCUUUACAUUUAAAUUACCAUCAGAAUUAAAUAACUUACUCUAUCUUU